This 109-nucleotide microRNA precursor is filed under the name Vicugna pacos (alpaca). Its description in RNAcentral is "miRNA (ENSVPAG00000017564.1)". Lineage: Eukaryota; Metazoa; Chordata; Mammalia; Artiodactyla; Camelidae. The record is from RNAcentral.
CAGACUUGGGGAUGAGCAGGAACCAAGGGAGCCCUGGAGGGACUGGAGACAGGAAGGAGGAACCAACCUCUUCAUGCAGGACUUGCCAGUGGAGGCGCCGGGGAGCCAG